UACGUAGGGUCCGAGCGUUGUCCGGAAUUACUGGGCGUAAAGAGCUCGUAGGUGGUUUGUCGCGUUGUUCGUGAAAACUCACAGCUCAACUGUGGGCGUGCGGGCGAUACGGGCAGACUUGAGUACUGCAGGGGAGACUGGAAUUCCUGGUGUAGCGGUGAAAUGCGCAGAUAUCAGGAGGAACACCGGUGGCGAAGGCGGUUCUCUGGGCCUUACCUGACGCUGAGGAGCGAAAGCGUGGGGAGCGAACAGG
This 253-nucleotide ribosomal RNA is filed under the name uncultured bacterium. RNAcentral's name for it is "partial 16S ribosomal RNA". It matches the Rfam family "Bacterial small subunit ribosomal RNA", at positions 524 to 776 of the family's 1533-position model. The record is from RNAcentral.